Molecule: long non-coding RNA, 1364 nt
Filed under: Mus musculus (house mouse)
Lineage: Eukaryota; Metazoa; Chordata; Mammalia; Rodentia; Muridae
Description: long non-coding RNA chr2:125221830-125223194
Source: RNAcentral
AAAUGAGUAGUUAUCUCCCUUGUCCUUUACCCCUCAACCUGGUUUUAUCUCCUCAGAGAGUCCUGUUUCCUUCCUAGUUUGCCAUCCUAGCCUCUGUUCAGCUGCUGCAGCCACUGCCCUAUGUCCUUAUACUUUCUGUUCUGUCACUGAGCCUGUGAUAUGGUACCUUUAUGAACUGGCCUCUCCAUUCUUGGAGUACCUACUUGUCACCAUACAGACACAUGUUGUUUUACUAUAACGACCCUUGCCCCAUGAUGUCUUCUUCUCAGGGCAUUUUCAUUUUUGCCCUGUGUCUAAAUUUUAUUCCAUACACCAUUGGUGUCCCUCACACAAUGCUAUCCUCCUCCUCAAAGAGAAUGACUUCCCUUCUGUAAGAAACCAGUAAAUUAGGUUUCAGAGUUUUACAGAUUUUCUCCCUGCUGUAUCAAAGUUGCAAAGUAAACUAACAUACAAGAAUGGAGGUGCCUAUUGUAUAAUGUCCUGAGAAAAGAGGCCAUCUGCCAGAAAGAGGGUGCAUCUCUCACCUGUCUACUACCCUUCGGCCAUUGCUUUGUAAAAUGCCAUGGACCCUCCUGGCAACUCACUCCCCAGGCUUUGAAAGUGGCCCUAGUUUAGAACAGAAAGUAGUUGUUUGGUCCAUGGCACCCAUGGCCUCUGGCAGCAAGUUGGAUAGUGCAAUCAAACAGAGAAAGCUCUUCUGGAUGGAUGCAGCGCCAGGCCACCGAUCUAAGACAUCAAGAGAAUACUGACCCAGGAGCUGGAGAGGUGGCUUGACAGUUAAAAACACUCGCUGCUCUUACAGAAGAUCUAAGUUCAAGUCCCAGCACCUACGUGGUGGCUCACAGCCAUCUGUAUGGGAUUGGUUCCCUCUUUUGGUGUUCUUGGAGACAGAGCACUCAUAUGCAUAAAUAGGUGAGUAAACAAAUCUUAGAGAGGUGGGUGAGGAAGAAUGCUGUCCCAAGUUCAGCUCCCAUCAUGGUCUUCAUGGCUGAGCAGUCUUUGUCACCACUGACAACUAUCCCCAGGUCACUAUUUUUGUCUUGUUCACCUGGUGUUAUACAAAGUCAGUGAUUUGCUUGUGGAGGCUAGUGUUAAAUUAUCUUUCAAUCACUUUUGGUAAAUCUUUCAAUAACUGUGAAAUGUCGCCACCUCAGAGGCAUUUGACAGAACAAAAGCCAACUAAAUGAGAAAAUAAUUGAGCAUGAGAAAUGUUGGAUAUAUAGUGGUUAGAUUCCAUUUUUAUUGUAUAAACUGAAUUAAAAGUCACGGGCCAAAGACAACAAUCUUUAUAUGGAAAUCAAGAAGAAACUGAAGGCAAUUAACUAGAUAAUUUAGCUUAAAGAUACUAGAUGUUAGAGUAAUCC